AAUAAAUUUUUAUAGUUUGUAUAAUUUAUUAUAAAUUUAUUUUACAUAUAAAUUUUAGUGUUAAAUUUUAAUUAUUUUAAUAAUAAUUAAUUAAUUAAGUAGUAAUUAAUAUUAAAUAUUUAAGAAAUUAAGAUUUAGUGAUAUAUAAAUUAAUAACUAAUUUUGUGCCAGCAGUUGCGGUUAAACAAAGAUUAAUAUAAAUUAUAUCAGUAUUUAAAUAAAUAAUAAAAAUUUAAAUUAAAUAUUAAAUUAUUAAGUGAAAUUUUAAUUUAAUUAAAUUUUAUAUUUAAAUUAUGAUUUAAUAAAUUUUAAAUUAAACUAGGAUUAGAUACCCUAUUAUUAAAAAUUUAAUAAAAAAUACUAAAAUAGUAAAUAAUAAUUUAUUGAAACUUAAAUAAUAUGGCGGUAUUUUAGUUCAUUUAGAGGAAUCUGUUUAAUAAUUGAUAAUCCACGAAUAAAUUUACUUAAUUUAAAAUUUUGUAUAUCGUUGUUAAAAAAAUAUUUUUUAAUAAAAAUAAUAUUUUAAUAUUUAUAAUAAAAAUUAAUUCAGAUCAAGAUGCAGAUUAUAAUUAAGAAUAUAAUGGAUUACAAUAAAUAUAUUUAAAUGGAUAAUAUUUUGUAAUUUUAAUUUGAAGGUGGAUUUAAAUGUAAUUUUAAUUAAUUUAUUAAAAUGAUUAAAAAUUAAAAUAUGUACAUAUUGCCCGUCACUUUCAUUUAAAAAUUGGAAUAAGUCGUAACAAAGUAGAGGUACUGGAAAGUGUUUCUAGAAUGAA
RNAcentral lists this non-coding RNA (773 nucleotides) under Stibochiona nicea. Lineage: Eukaryota; Metazoa; Arthropoda; Insecta; Lepidoptera; Nymphalidae. The record is from RNAcentral.